GUCCUUGUCGAUUAGUGGUUAGAUCAUCACGUUGUGGUCACUCUGGUGCAGAACCGUGAAGACGGAGGCUCGAAUCCUCCCUGGGACA
Non-coding RNA from Postia placenta MAD-698-R-SB12, 88 nucleotides. Lineage: Eukaryota; Fungi; Basidiomycota; Agaricomycetes; Polyporales; Adustoporiaceae. The record is from the annotation of a RefSeq genome assembly.